Molecule: long non-coding RNA, 1478 nt
Filed under: Octopus sinensis (East Asian common octopus)
Lineage: Eukaryota; Metazoa; Mollusca; Cephalopoda; Octopoda; Octopodidae
Description: uncharacterized LOC118766750, transcript variant X3
Source: RNAcentral
ACAUAUAUAUAUUAUAUAUAUAAAUAGAGAGAGAGAGAGAGAGAGAGAGAUAGAGAAAGAGCGAGCAAAAAGGGAAGGAAGAGAUGUUUAUAUAGAUGAUAUCUUUUUGAUUCAGUACAUUUAAUUGAAUCAAUAUUUGUUAGUGAACAUACACAUAUAUUUCUGAGUAAUUUUAUCGGGCUACGAAUGUUCAAGAAGAAAAAUGUCAUAACUUGAUAUACGUAGUCUUUGUAUGUCGUUAUGCUGGAUAUCUGGAAGGUAGCUAGUUAUACUAUUGUUUUUGAAUGACAAAUCUGCUGAUAUUUACAAGUAAAUGAAUAUCUCUUACAUGCAUGCGUUAAAAUUAUGGAAUCAAAAAUAUAUUGUGGUAUCCAAAUGUAACUACGCCUUCUUAGAAAGUGAUUCUCAAACAGUGAUUAGUUGCGGCGCACUUCAGAGCAAAUAAAAUAUGCACUUUACGCACAAAUUCAAAAAAUGUAUCAAAAGCUAUUGAAAUACUUUUAGUCUAAUUUAAAUUACUGAUCAUUAUUGAGUUCUCAUUUCUCAAUUCAGUAAAUAAAGCAUAAUUAUCAAGGCUUUAUAAGAAUAUUAGCUUGUAUUUUGCACAUUUUGAAUAUAAUUUUAUUAUUUUUAUGGCGUGCCUUUCUGCAUCUCGUUUGCACUUUUGUGUUCCGCCGCGCAUCAUUUGGGAACCACUGUCCUAAGAGAAGAUUUCAAACUAGAAACAUCUAGAGGCAUAUAAUACUAUGCAAUAUGGGAUAUUUAUCUAUAUCUAUGCAGCUUACAGAAAAAGAAUUUCUAUAAAUAUGUUCUACUUCAGUUUUUAUUGGUUUACAUUUUUAAAAAUUUUAUAAUGGCCUGAACUCUCCAGACUAUUGAUUCGGCGAAUUAUCUUUACAAUGCUCUACUUUUUUUUUUAUUAUAGAAGUAAUUUAAUUUUAAAAUGACAUGAUAUCUUUAUAAGGAAGUCAUAAUCAAUAUCAUCGAUCAUGCAAUCUACAAGAAAUUAUUUAAUUGAUAAUUUUAUUGAUGAACGUGAUUUUAGCAGGAAAUGAACCCAGAAAUGUAAUCAGAAGGGAUUUUCGGUCAAUCUAAAUAUCUUAUCUUUGUACCUCUUUAUAUUACUUUUGAAUGUUUAAUCCUUUGAAAUGAUCAAAUUUAACAGUAAAUAGUUUUGGUUUUGAUAUGUUUAAACAUUUGAUAUUCCAUGUUUGUUUUAACGUUUGGGACGGCUUUUAUAAAAUAAUUUAGCUUUAAUAAUGAAUGGAAUACAAGAAUUAUCUCAUGAAAUCAUCCAGGAAUAUUUCAGUACAAGCUUUCAAGUAAUCUGUAUAAAUGUUUGGUUCUCUUAGUAUUGUCUAUGUUUAGGUAUUUCAGAAGCAUUUAAUUAAAGUUAAUCUCAUUUUUCAUUAAUGUUUGUUACAUAAAACUUCCAUAAUUAGAGUAUAAAGAGAAGUUAUAUUUCCCCUUUGAUUAAU